Molecule: long non-coding RNA, 572 nt
Organism: Tympanuchus pallidicinctus (lesser prairie-chicken)
Lineage: Eukaryota; Metazoa; Chordata; Aves; Galliformes; Phasianidae
Exons: 3
Source: RefSeq, a predicted model, not a curated record
GUGUCCGCUUCCUUUGCUUAGAAUGAAAGCGCAGGAGUGAUGCGGAACCAUGGUGAGGUCACAGUCGUUGCUGGGGUGGCAGGGCUUGGCCCUCGGUGGCGAGCAGAGCUGGUGCUCUAGUGAGCGAGUGGCACACAGAGACUGAGCUCUGAGCGUUUUGUGGCAAGGAUCAUCCUUGAGAGCCCGUCAGAAGCACCGCUGCGGCGUGUGUGUGACCUGGGCACAGCCUGGACUGACCUGGACCAAGAGGGUUCCACUCUGAAAGGUGAUCUUGGGUCCAAGCAGUCCCAGAGUGCAGCCGCCUCUUUCCAAGAGCGGGGAAUUCCUUUGGAGACAGCCCAACCUUGCUCCAAGAAGUUCCCCAUGCCUCAGAAAGGAGUCGACUGCCACUUCUAUUUCAACUCUGUCUGCUUUAAGGGAGACAGCUGUCCCUUCCGCCACUGCGAAGCGGCUCUGGGGAGUGAAGAGGUCUGCAAGCUGUGGAUGCAGGGUCGCUGUUCCAGCAGCGACUGCAGGCUCAGACACACAAAAAUUGAUGUGAGUGCUUGCCUAAAGAUGAGCUCUCCACUUCU